RNAcentral lists this ribosomal RNA (331 nucleotides) under uncultured Flavobacteriaceae bacterium. RNAcentral describes it as "bacterial LSU rRNA". It matches the Rfam family "Bacterial large subunit ribosomal RNA", at positions 1 to 348 of the family's 2925-position model. The record is from RNAcentral. Lineage: Bacteria; Pseudomonadati; Bacteroidota; Flavobacteriia; Flavobacteriales; Flavobacteriaceae.
AAUAAGUUAAUUAAGAGCGUAAGGUGGAUGCCUUGGCUCUCAGAGGCGAUGAAGGACGUGAUAAGCUGCGAUAAGCUACGGGGAUUGGCACACACAAUUUGAUCCGUAGAUUUCCGAAUGGGGAAACCCACUAUAUUGAAGAUAUAGUAUCCGUUAAGGAAGCAAACCCAGGGAACUGAAACAUCUAAGUACCUGGAGGAAUAGAAAACAAAAGUGAUUCCGCUAGUAGUGGCGAGCGAACGCGGAACAGCCCAAACCAAAAUUGUUUCGGCAAUUUUGGGGUUGUAGGACCACGAUAUUGAAUGUUUAAUGAAUUAGAAUUCUUUGGAAA